RNAcentral lists this ribosomal RNA (812 nucleotides) under uncultured bacterium. RNAcentral's name for it is "bacterial SSU rRNA". It matches the Rfam family "Bacterial small subunit ribosomal RNA", at positions 8 to 839 of the family's 1533-position model. The record is from RNAcentral.
AGAGUUUGAUCAUGGCUCAGGACGAACGCUGGCGGCGUGCUUAACACAUGCAAGUCGAACGGGCACAUUCCUUCGGGGAUGUGUCAGUGGCGGACGGGUGAGUAACGCGUGAGCAACCUGCCUCAGAGAGGGGAAUAACACAGGGAAACCUGUGCUAAUACCGCGUAACGCAAUCGGGUGGCAUCAUCUGAUUGUCAAAGGAGCAAUCCGCUCUGAGAUGGGCUCGCGUCCGAUUAGCUAGUUGGUGGGGUAACGGCCCACCAAGGCGACGAUCGGUAGCCGGACUGAGAGGUUGGCCGGCCACAUUGGGACUGAGACACGGCCCAGACUCCUACGGGAGGCAGCAGUGGGGAAUAUUAGGCAAUGGGGGAAACCCUGACCUAGCAACGCCGCGUGAAGGAUGAAGGUCUUCGGAUUGUAAACUUCUUUGGCCCGGGACGAUAAUGACGGUACCGGGAGAACAAGCCACGGCUAACUACGUGCCAGCAGCCGCGGUAAUACGUAGGUGGCAAGCGUUGUCCGGAAUUACUGGGUGUAAAGGGCGAGUAGGCGGGUGCACAAGUCAGAUGUGAAAAUCCGGGGCUCAACCCCGGACCUGCAUUUGAAACUGUGCGUCUUGAGUGAUGGAGAGGCAGGCGGAAUUCCCGGUGUAGCGGUGAAAUGCAUAGAGAUCGGGAGGAACACCAGUGGCGAAGGCGGCCUGCUGGACAUUAACUGACGCUGAGGCGCGAAAGUGUGGGGAGCAAACAGGAUUAGAUACCCUGGUAGUCCACACCGUAAACGAUGGAUACUAGGUGUGGGGGGUCUGACCC